ACGUCAACAGAUGCCGAACGGACAGCACCUCCCCUGUCCGCCCAAGGCUCCAACAAUACAUGUAUAACAAUAGCAAUUCAAACAUAAUGAAUGCAAGUAUACACGGCUUACACGAGGGCAAGCAACAACCAAACAUAAGUGAGAGCAAUCUAACUAUUACAUUUAUACAUUGUAUAUUGAUCACUUUCAAUCAAAUACAAAGCUUAUACAAUUUCUUUACAUUCAUUCAUCUCAAUUUACAAUUUCAUCUCUCAAAGGAUCUUAAUACAUUUUCACCUUUCACAUAAUUUUAUUACAUUUCCAUUUUACAUUUUACAUCAUCGACAUAAUAGAUGAAACAUAUAC
Molecule: long non-coding RNA, 345 nt
Filed under: Ananas comosus (pineapple)
Lineage: Eukaryota; Viridiplantae; Streptophyta; Magnoliopsida; Poales; Bromeliaceae
Description: long non-coding RNA (ACOM_LNC029191)
Source: RNAcentral